This is an RNA transcript of Meriones unguiculatus (Mongolian gerbil), 3900 nucleotides long. It is a transcript of the gene named chromosome 15 C2orf88 homolog, with no coding region annotated. NCBI's taxonomy places the organism in Eukaryota, Metazoa, Chordata, Mammalia, Rodentia, Muridae. The transcript has 2 exons. The record is from RefSeq and is a predicted model, not a curated record.
GGUGGCUCCCGGGAGGUGGCGCCGCGCGGGGAGCGAGCCUGGGGUGGGCGCGCGAGCGGGUGUGUCUGGCUGUGCCUGGCCCUGAGUGCUGCGGGGUGGCGGUAGCCCCAGGCGGAGGGCAUGCUCUGCGGGUCCCUCGGCUCCACCUGCUGGACACGGCGGGCAGGCCGGGUGCGGGCCGCGAACUCGGGAGCGGGGCAGGGCGGGCGGCCGCAGGAGGAGGAGGAGCCGGGAGCGCGGCGGGAGGACGCCGGCCCUCGGGAGCGGCCGCUAACUUAACCCAGCUGGCGUCGGCGAAACCGGGGCCGCGCCGCCCCCUCCCGGCUGACGCCGGCGCCCGCCGAGCACCCUCCGCCCGGGGACUGCGGCCAGGGCCAUGGGGCCCCCGGCGCCCGCGCCGCCUCGCGGAGGCCUGCACGCUUGCGGUGGCCCCGCAGGGGGCCCGCUGCUGGGUAGGGUAAACACAAGACGUGAAGAGUAGUGAAAGGGAUCAGCGGUUGCCAAAGUGGCCUGAGAGGAAAGACUGGUCAACAUUGUGUGGACAACCCUGUACUGUUUUCCAAAGAUGCUGUUGAAGUAGUCUUAACACAGCCUGCCUUCACUCUGCCAAAGCUCUACAUCAUGGGCUGCAUGAAGUCAAAGCAAACGUUCCCAUUUCCUACCACAUUAGACAUUGAAAGGGUACAUGAGAGUGAAGAAGCAUUUAUCCCAGAGGAAAGCUUUCAACAUACAGUCCCUUCUUUAAGCCAACCCCAAGUCCAGGAGGAAGUGAAGAAACACCCAGAGCCUGCUAAUAUGGUCCUUGAAUACGCAGAACAUCUGGCCAAGGAAAUUGUGCAGGAUGCCUUGAAGCAGUGGGCAUGUGAGAACAUCAAAUACUCCAACAUCCCAUUCAUCGAGAGUGAAGGCUCUGACACCGCCAUUGGAUGAUAAUACUCUGCUGUGCUCUGGAUGUAGUCGGUGCUAAUUUAAAUACAUGAACCAAGUUUUAAAACUCCAUCUGGAUGUAAAACCAUGUCUGUGAUAAUAUUAGUGUAGGGAUGCUGAUGAUGAAGUGUAAUUUUAAGCAGUUCUACUAUGUUAACAUCAAUGUAUAUCUGCUUGAUCUUGAAUUUUGGUUGUAAAAGGUCUGGACAAAGGUCUUAUGCCAUGUCAUUAGCUGUCUGUCAUACCAUGCUCUUCCUGAGGCAGUAAUGACAUCACCAAAGAAAAUGUUGACUAAAACGUGCCUAAGUUCCAAAUGGUUAGUUUAAGGGAUUGACUUUAAAAUGACUAUUUCUGUUAAUUUAUACCCAAAAAAACAACAAAACAAAAACCAAAAACACAGAACAUGAAAAGGGUUUCCUUAAAAUGUCUCAGCAAGGAAUGAACUCCAGCCACAGUGAUCCAUAGUAUGCCUGUUGUUAAAACCAUUUGUGUCAGGGAUUGCCCACUUCCUGACACCUGUAACCUAACAUUAGGAACCACCAGUGAAGAGGGCUGCCUUGAAUGCUGUUCUCAGUAGAAAGUCAGUAGGAAGUCUUAUUUUUGUAGAUGGAAAGAAUAACACCCACCUUGAGCCUCAGGGUCCUGCCACAAAUGUUACUGGAGGAUUUUAACUUUGCGUGUUAUGGCCAUCUUUAAAAGAUAAUUUACAGAAGUCAUGACAACUUCAUUGCAUUGAAAUAUGCUCUUUGUUAUCUUUCAUCCAGUAGGUCUUGAAAAUGAGAGACACCUAGUCUGCAAGGUGAACCUUGAAGCUGGUGUCAUGGCUUACUGUGUGUAGAGCCUCACUGCAGUGCUGGUGCAGGGGUGCAGGAGCUGAUGGUCCAAGAGGACUUGUAAUUCUCCUAAGAGUAGGACAGAACUUUCCUCCCAAAGGGAGCACCUAUGUGGGAUUUAGCAAUCUCUCGAGCCAUAUAUUCUCCCGAAUGGAGAACUUGUGUGGGUUUUAGCAGUCAUGCAUGCCCACAAAGCACUUUUAGCCAUAUAUUGCAGAAGUGUUCUAAAUUAGGCAUUUUAAAAACUAUCAUAGAAUAUACACUUUUUAUUUUUUAAAGAACUUAACUAUUUAAAGCUCAGUAGUAAUAAAAGACUUAGGACAAAGUCAAUAGGAAAAUGGGACUGAGUGUCUAGAAUGAUCAAUGAACUGUGCUAAGCAGAGAGUGAGGGGAAAUGGGGUCCAUCUACACCUGCCCCUCAGUGACAUGGUUUAUCAGCAUUUUUGAAACUCAAAACCAUUGGAGAAAGGCUUCUGGUAUCACGUGAGCUAAAUAAGUUCUUGGCUUUGUCCAUAGUAAGAAAUACUGCCUCUAGUUUUAACAGUCGAACAGUGUGAAGCCUCCAGGUUUUAGAAGCAGAGAGGUCAUUAAAAUGAGCAACAGGUCAUCUUUCAGUUUGCUUUCAGAAAUCUGACCGUUGUGGAGUCACAGUACUCCACCCCACCUGUAAUCGAACAGCUUAGACAACUGUAAGCAACCACACCUGUUUCUAUGACCAUCUGCACAUAAGGCACAGUGCAGAGUGCUUCCCAUAAUGUCCAGUUCAUGGAACACUCUAGAGUUUCCAAUUCUGUACUGACAAUUCAGGCAAAAGCCUAGAUUAUAAUGUUUUCCACUCAUCUAGCUUCUCAUAUGAGGAUACCUGUUACAAGGUUUCUUGUUAUUUAAAAUAUAUAAUUAAGUAUACAAAAUAAUAUAUAUGUUGGUCAGAACAUGAAGACAUAGUCUACCUAGGGAUACUGGCAAGUGGGUUUGGUUUAUAUGAGAGUAUUUCAACUUCAAGUUUCCUCUUUGUCCCACAUCAAUUCCAAUGGUGGAGCAAGAGUGCGUACCGUCUCUGCUACCCUCUUUCAGCAACUCUGAUGAGCAGUUUUACUGUGAAAGCAAGCACUGUGUGCUCACCUUGACUUUAAUGAAAAUAUAUACAUAAUAAUCUUCUAAAAGACUUACCUUUACAACACAUGAGAACUGUAUGUCAGCCCAUGAACAAGGAACCACAAAGCUUAUUAGAGAGGUGAAUAAACUGUGUGUGAGUAAAAAGUUGAACACACUUUAUACCACACUGGAUAGUAUCGGGGUAUAGUUUCGCCUUGCUGAGAACAAGGCAUCUUUCAUAAGGGGUCAGCCUUCUUUCCUGCCUUUGUAUUCAUCAUCUGAGCCUUGUUUGAGGUCUUUCAUUAGGAAGAAGAGCACUAAGAAGAAGGGACCCAUGAACUGACCCACUCAUUAGCAGGGACAUGUAGAACACCAGUGUAAGGGCAGAGGGACUGCUACUGCACAUGGCCUCAGGGACAUCUGUGGAGGAAACCAAUGUGCCAAUUCCGAAUUUGCUGACUCAAAAUGCCACGGUGUGUGUCACUGCUCCUCCCUGUUGUCUCUUGUUGAUAAAGGCCUUUGAUGCUAGAAUUCUCCCAUCUUAGUUUCCUUAUCAGUUCUUUACCAACUACCUGUGGUUAUUAUCACUUCAAGGACAAUUUUGAAGGGACAGGCAAGAUUAUCUUAAGCCCCCAAAAUCUGUAUCAAGCUCUCAUAAGCAUUAAAAAUAAAUUCACAGAAAUAGCAUGAUAUACACAUCCUACUUAAUCACCACUGGCAUUCGGUGAGAUGGGACAAAGUAUACUUUUGAAUCAUAUUAUUUUAGAAAUAUGAAGUUAGACAUGUAUAAAUGGUCAAGAAGCAGUAAUGUAUAUGUAAUGUCUAUAUAAACAUAGUAUAUAUGUUAAAUGACCUAGCAAGCCAUGUGUUUCUUCCUUGGAGCCAUAAAUACUAGCUUCAAAGAAUUAGCUGUUACUUUAUUCACAAAAUUCAGGUUUUAUUAGCAAAUGCCCCGUAAGAAUUAACUCUGAAGUGGUAUUUUUUUCCCCAAAUAUUUUUGUGAAAAAAAUUUUUUGUAACUAUAAUAAAAGUCCAAUCGCAAUUA